UACGUAGGGGGCAAGCGUUGUCCGGAAUCAUUGGGCGUAAAGCGCGCGUAGGCGGCCCUGUAAGUCCGUUGUGAAAGUCAAAGGCUCAACCUUUGAAAGCCGAUGGAUACUGCAGGGCUAGAGUCCGGAAGAGGCGAGUGGAAUUCCCGGUGUAGCGGUGAAAUGCGCAGAUAUCGGGAGGAACACCGGUGGCGAAGGCGGUUCUCUGGGCCUGUACUGACGCUGAGGAGCGAAAGCGUGGGGAGCGAACAGG
This 253-nucleotide ribosomal RNA is filed under the name uncultured bacterium. RNAcentral describes it as "partial 16S ribosomal RNA". It matches the Rfam family "Bacterial small subunit ribosomal RNA", at positions 524 to 776 of the family's 1533-position model. The record is from RNAcentral.